GCCUCGGGGCGCAGCAGUGGGGAAUAUUGCACAAUGGGGGAAACCCUGAUGCAGCGACGCCGCGUGAGUGAAGAAGUAUCUCGGUAUGUAAAGCUCUAUCAGCAGGGAAGAAAAUGACGGUACCUGACUAAGAAGCCCCGGCUAAAUACGUGCCAGCAGCCGCGGUAAUACGUAUGGUGCAAGCGUUAUCCGGAUUUACUGGGUGUAAAGGGAGCGCAGGCGGCACGGCAAGCCUGAUGUGAAAGCCCGCGGCCCAACCGCGGGACCGCAUUGGGAACUACCGGGCUGGAGUGCCGGAGAGGUAG
This 305-nucleotide ribosomal RNA is filed under the name uncultured bacterium. RNAcentral describes it as "bacterial SSU rRNA". It matches the Rfam family "Bacterial small subunit ribosomal RNA", at positions 335 to 660 of the family's 1533-position model. The record is from RNAcentral.